GCCCAGGUAGCUCAGUUGGUAGAGCUUGCGACUGAAAAUCGCAGUGUCGGUGGUUCAAGUCCGCCCCUCGGCACCA
RNAcentral lists this transfer RNA (76 nucleotides) under Candidatus Dojkabacteria bacterium. RNAcentral describes it as "tRNA-Phe". It matches the Rfam family "tRNA". Rfam says of the family: Transfer RNA (tRNA) molecules are approximately 80 nucleotides in length. Their secondary structure includes four short double-helical elements and three loops (D, anti-codon, and T loops). The record is from RNAcentral.